This 76-nucleotide transfer RNA is filed under the name Methylobacterium adhaesivum. Its description in RNAcentral is "tRNA-Arg". The record is from RNAcentral. Lineage: Bacteria; Pseudomonadati; Pseudomonadota; Alphaproteobacteria; Hyphomicrobiales; Methylobacteriaceae.
CCUCGUGUUGGCCGGCCGGGCCGGGGCCUUCGACGCCCUGUCACUGGCCGUCGAGUACGCGGCCCGGCGCGAGACC